RNAcentral lists this ribosomal RNA (539 nucleotides) under uncultured bacterium. RNAcentral describes it as "bacterial SSU rRNA". It matches the Rfam family "Bacterial small subunit ribosomal RNA", at positions 356 to 896 of the family's 1533-position model. The record is from RNAcentral.
GAGGAAUAUUGGUCAAUGGGCGAGAGCCUGAACCAGCCAAGUAGCGUGCAGGAUGACGGCCCUCCGGGUUGUAAACUGCUUUUAGUUGGGAAUAAAAAAAGGGACUUGUCCCUUCUUGUAUGUACCUUCAGAAAAAGGACCGGCUAAUUCCGUGCCAGCAGCCGCGGUAAUACGGAAGGUCCAGGCGUUAUCCGGAUUUAUUGGGUUUAAAGGGAGCGUAGGCGGAUUGUUAAGUCAGCGGUUAAAGGGUGUGGCUCAACCAUGCAUUGCCGUUGAAACUGGCGAUCUUGAGUGCAGACAGGGAUGCCGGAAUUCGUGGUGUAGCGGUGAAAUGCUUAGAUAUCACGAAGAACUCCGAUCGCGAAGGCAGGUGUCUGGGCUGCAACUGACGCUGAGGCUCGAAAGUGUGGGUAUCAAACAGGAUUAGAUACCCUGGUAGCCCACACAGUAAACGAUGUAUACUCGCGGUUUGCGAUAGACAGUAAGCCGCCAAGCGAAAGCAUUAAGUAUACCACCUGGGGAGUACGCCGGCAACGGUG